GAGCGCGUAGCUCAGUCGGUAGAGCAACUGACUUUUAAUCAGUAGGUCAUGGGUUCGAAUCCCAUCGCGCUCACCA
This 76-nucleotide transfer RNA is filed under the name Telmatospirillum sp. Its description in RNAcentral is "tRNA-Lys". It matches the Rfam family "tRNA". From Rfam's summary of the family: Transfer RNA (tRNA) molecules are approximately 80 nucleotides in length. Their secondary structure includes four short double-helical elements and three loops (D, anti-codon, and T loops). Further hydrogen bonds mediate the characteristic L-shaped molecular structure. tRNAs have two regions of fundamental functional importance: the anti-codon, which is responsible for specific mRNA codon recognition, and the 3' end, to which the tRNAs corresponding amino acid is attached (by aminoacyl-tRNA synthetases). tRNAs cope with the degeneracy of the genetic code in two manners: having more than one tRNA (with a specific anti-codon) for a particular amino acid; and 'wobble' base-pairing, i.e. permitting non-standard base-pairing at the 3rd anti-codon position. The record is from RNAcentral. Lineage: Bacteria; Pseudomonadati; Pseudomonadota; Alphaproteobacteria; Rhodospirillales; Rhodospirillaceae.